This 4176-nucleotide unclassified non-coding RNA is filed under the name Hevea brasiliensis (rubber tree). The record is from RNAcentral. Lineage: Eukaryota; Viridiplantae; Streptophyta; Magnoliopsida; Malpighiales; Euphorbiaceae.
AAAGAAGGUAAAAUCAAUCAUUUAUACAUUUAUUUAUUUAUGAGUAUUUUAUAGCUCUAUAAGCUAGUUCCUCUGGGAGCAUGAUCAAUCUGAUUAGUCUGGGUUGUAAAAAGGUUGAUUUUGAAUCUGUAGUUGCCACAGUUUUUUGUUUCCUAAAAUCCACAUUUCUAGUAGGUUUGGGAUUUUUUUUUCAUUUCAAGUUGUUCCAUAUGGUCGCCCUCACUCCUCUGGUUACUUUUACGGUCGCAUUUGUACUGGAUAUUUCGUUCUACUGUGGGUACAAUUCCUAUAUAUUUGGGUGUGAAGUAACAGCUUGUCAUGUUCAUGUCUAAGCUUCUUUAACACAUGCUUAUGUCUCCCAUUGCAAAGUUGUUGUAGGUCCCACUAGAAUACUAUUUCCAUGUAAUGUGUGCAUGAUUAGAAGUCUUACCUUUCUUAUUUUUGUUUUUAUAAGUCUUUUAAUAUUGUGGUUAAUAUGUGAGGCACAGCAAAUCUUUGUUUAGAAAAGGAUAACCACAACAAAUGCUUAUCCAUGGGUUAUUAUUCAGUGAUCAACAAAAUGGUAUUCGUUUUGCAUUUACUUUUACUUUUGAUUAUAAUUUUAUGGCCAAUUUACGACAUCACUUGUUGAUAAAUUUAAGGAGUUAUUUUCCCCAACUUUUAAUUUGUAUUCUUGUAAUCAUUGCAGUCACGCAGAUAAAGUAGACCUAAUAAUCACAUUGUGCUUAAUAAUAAACUUGUGGUUGAAAGUUAAAGCUAGAUGAUAAAGGAUGGGAUAGUGUCCUGGGGUCAAAUUUUAGUAUUAGUCUGAAGUAAUAGAUUUGGCCAUCAAAUGUGACAAUUUAAAGCCCUUCUUCUUAGGGAGAUGCGAUCCUAAUUAUUUUUUCCUCUCCAACAUGGUGAGCAUUUGGACUAAAUGUGUUAAUUUUGUUGAUACUAAACAUGUUUGCUCAUGCUACUUGUAUAUAUAUGGCAAAAAAGUGGUAUUGGUAUUGUUUUAUGAUGAUACAAAUCAAAUCAGUUGUGCUUAUGAUUUCCAUAUGGUGACUUCUAACAUGGUGUUGCAGUCAUCUGUUGAUGUGGACUUCUUCACUGAAUAUGGAGAAGGGAGCAGGUACAGAAUAGAGGAAGUAAUUGGUAAAGGAAGCUAUGGUGUUGUUUGUUCUGCAUAUGAUACACAUAUUGGAGAAAAGGUUGCAAUAAAGAAAAUAAAUGACAUCUUCGAACAUGUUUCUGAUGCCACCCGCAUACUUCGAGAGAUUAAACUUCUCAGGCUCCUGCGUCAUCCAGAUAUAGUGGAGAUCAAGCACAUUUUGUUGCCUCCUUCCAGAAGGGAAUUUAAGGACAUAUAUGUUGUCUUUGAGUUGAUGGAAUCUGACUUACACCAAGUUAUUAAAGCAAAUGAUGAUUUAACUCCAGAACAUUAUCAGUUCUUUCUUUAUCAACUUCUCAGAGGCCUGAAAUACAUACACACAGCCAAUGUCUUUCAUCGGGAUCUAAAACCAAAAAAUAUCUUAGCAAAUGCAGACUGCAAGCUGAAGAUCUGUGACUUUGGGCUUGCAAGAGUAGCGUUUAAUGAUACCCCGACAGCCAUUUUCUGGACAGACUAUGUUGCAACAAGGUGGUAUAGGGCUCCUGAAUUGUGUGGAUCAUUUUUCUCAAAGUAUACACCAGCAAUAGACAUAUGGAGCAUUGGAUGCAUCUUUGCUGAACUUUUGACAGGGAAACCUCUUUUCCCUGGGAAAAAUGUAGUCCAUCAACUGGAUCUAAUGACUGAUCUGUUGGGAACACCAUCAGCUGAAGCCAUUGCCAGGGUGCGCAAUGAGAAGGCUCGAAGAUACUUAAGCAGCAUGCGGAAGAAGAAGCCUAUUCCUUUCUCCCAGAAGUUUCCUAAUGCAGAUCCCCUUGCACUUCGUUUGUUGGAAAAAAUGUUGGCAUUUGAACCCAAGGACCGACCCACUGCUGAAGAGGCUCUUGCUGAUCCAUAUUUUAAGGGUUUGGCCAAAGUUGAGAGAGAGCCUUCUGCUCAACCAGUUACUAAGAUGGAAUUUGAAUUUGAGAGACGAAGGAUAACUAAGGAAGAUGUACGAGAGCUCAUAUACAGAGAAAUUUUAGAGUACCAUCCUAACAUGUUGAAAGAAUACUUAGAAGGUGCGGAGCCAACAGGGUUCAUGUAUCCAAGUGCUGUUGACCAUUUUAAGAAGCAAUUUGCUUACCUUGAGGAGCACUAUGGAAAUGGUGCAACUGCUGCUCCACCUGAGAGGCAGCAUGCAUCCUUGCCGAGGCCGUGCGUGUUAUAUUCAGAUAAUACAGUACAGAAUUCACUGGAAGUCUCAAAUGAUCUUUCCAAAUGCUCUAUCAAAGAAAUUGGGAAGCCACAUAUGGACCAAAAUGGUGGGAUCCCAAUGACAAGGCUUCCUCUUCAUGUUCCUCAAAGUAUCCAAGGUAUGAGCUAAUUGCAUUUGUUUACUCCUCUGCUUGCUUUUAUCAAUAUUAUAUAACAAAUGGAGGAAUAUACUGUAUCAACUUCUGGAAAUUUCAAUAAUAUUUUGGUGUACAGAUUUCCAAGUGGAUUGUCAGUAUGAGUAAGUGAUAAUUGGCUAUUUAAGGAAGUGAGCAUUUGCAUCACGUCAUUGUUCUUUCCAUGGUCCAAUUAUUGGAUUCUUGUUCCCCCAAAAUUUCCCCACUUAGGUUUUUAUAUCAAAUGGUUUAUUUAUCAUCUUAUUUCAGAGCCUGUCAAUUUAUCUGUUGUCUGUCAAACUUAUGGUUACUUAAUAUCUACUGCAAAAACAGUUUGCAAGAUGAAAUAGAAACCAUAAAAUUAUUAUGUUUCGAUUCCAAGUUUCUAACUUCAUUUGAGGACGAGUCAAGAUACUUACAGAAACCUCCUCUUCUUGCUGCUUUAUUAUAACCUGAUCAAAUGAGUUUCUUGUUUUACACACUAGAUAAACACCAAAAUGAGAAAUAUUCAGUAUAUGAGUUUGAAGUGUAGAUUCUUUUUCUUUUUCCAAGUUAAAAAUUUAUGGAUUAAGAUGCAUACAUUGCUGUACAAUGGAACUUGAGGUAUUUUAGAUUGUUGCUUAUUCAUUCCUUUUCCCUUUCUCUUACUCACCAGUAGACCUAGUUCCAGAACUCUCAUACUACAUGAUAUAUUGAUGACUAAGUAGCGUUCUUUUCAGCAGGUGCUGCAAGACCUGGGAAAGUUGUUGGUUCAGUAAUGCGUUAUAACAAUUGUGGGGUGGCGGCAACAGCAGAAGCUCAUGAACAACGACGGGUGGUCAGAAAUCCAACUAUUUCAACUCAAUAUACUGCUUCAAACUGUUCAUAUCCUAGAAGAAAUCCAGUCUGUAAAAAUGAAAGGAGAGAAGAUGAAGGGGUUGAAGGCUCUAAUGGAUUGCAGCCAAAGCCUCAGUACAUGGCCAGGAAAGUUGCUGCUGCCCAAGGUGGAUCUGGGAAUCACUGGUACUGAUAAUGUGGGCAUGUGGUAAACUAGAAUGCUCGACUGGCUAUAACCAACCUAAUGUUGACAGUCAUCGGAGCACAUUUAAUUGGAUUGAUCUUGCUGCCAAAGUGAAUUUAUAUGUUUCUACUGCUGUAAUUUAGUGGUGUUUUUCCACCAGCUCAAUUGCUUGAGAAGAUUUGAGGGCUGAGACUUCUGUUGUAGGAUGUUAGGCAGCAAGUUGUAAUUUAUAACGCUAAUUUAUGGUUGACUGGGUUCUUUGGUGCUUACCAUUCAUGACCUUAUAGCUCUCUGAUUUAGCUCAAUAACCCAGAUACAGGGAUGUAUGAUAUCAUGAAUGAGGAAAGGCAAACGGAUCUGUUGACUUGCCCAGUUCAAUUUUGUUUCCACUUCCUGCAAGAUACAAGUAAGCAAUUUCUUUAUCUCCCCCUGAUAGUUGAUUGUUGUGUAGUUCUGCUUAUGUUAUUUUAAGCCUGAAAUAAGGAUCUUCUCUUCUUGAACAAGAGGCCCAACGAGGGACACAUUAAGGGCAACAACUUUAUGCAGGGUAGCGCCUGGCUAUUAGGUUGCAAAAUAUAAUUGUGUUUGUCAAUGUUCUACUAGAUGCCUUUCUUAUUAACUGGAUUGAGAGAAUUUUUCUCAUUACCUUGUGCGGAAGGCUGGGAAAUAAUCUAUCGCUGGAUGAUGCAUGACACUCAGGUUGAGAGAGACAGAGG